Molecule: ribosomal RNA, 780 nt
Filed under: uncultured bacterium
Lineage: Bacteria
Description: bacterial SSU rRNA
Rfam family: Bacterial small subunit ribosomal RNA
Source: RNAcentral
AAAGGAGGGGCAAUACCGAAUAUUGUCCGGAACCGUGAAGGGUUUCGGGGAAAGGGAGGCCUCUGACACAAGCUUUCGCCUUAAGAUGAGCCCAUGGCCCAUCAGCUAGUUGGUAGGGUAAAGGCCUACCAAGGCUACGACGGGUCGCUGGUCUGAGAGGACGACCAGCCACACUGGCACUGAGAUACGGGCCAGACUCCUACGGGAGGCAGCAGUGAGGAAUAUUGCGCAAUGGGGGAAACCCUGACGCAGCAACGCCGCGUGUGGGAAGAAGGCCUUCGGGUCGUAAACCACUUUUACUCGGGACGAAAAAGGGAUAUCAAAUAAAUAUCCCCGAUGACGGUACCGUGAGAAUAAGCCACGGCUAACUCUGUGCCAGCAGCCGCGGUAAGACAGAGGUGGCAAGCGUUGUUCGGAAUUACUGGGCGUAAAGAGUCUGUAGGUGGUUUGUCAAGUCUUUGGUGAAAGGCCGUAGCUUAACUAUGGGAAUGCCAAAGAGACUGGCAGGCUGGAGGCUGGGAGAGGGAAGCGGAAUUUCUGGUGUAGCGGUGAAAUGCGUAGAUAUCAGAAGGAAGGCCGGUGGCGAAGGCGGCUUCCUGGAACAGUCCUGACACUGAGAGACGAAAGCGUGGGGAGCAAACAGGAUUAGAUACCCUGGUAGUCCACGCCCUAAACGAUGGGUACUAAGUGUGGAGGGGUUAAACCCUCCGUGCCGCAGCAACGCAGUAAGUACCCCGCCUGGGGAGUACGGCCGCAGGUUGAACUCAAAGGAAUUGACGG